AGAGUUUGAUCCUGGCUCAGAACGAACGCUGGCGGCGUGCCUAACACAUGCAAGUCGAACGCGAACGGUCCUUUCGGGGACUUAGUAGAGUGGCGCACGGGUGAGUAACACGUAGACAACCUGCCUUCGAGCCCGGAAUAACCUUUCGAAAGAAGGGCUAAUACCGGAUAACACUUGGGAGCGCAUGCUCUUGGGUUAAA
RNAcentral lists this ribosomal RNA (200 nucleotides) under uncultured bacterium. RNAcentral's name for it is "partial 16S ribosomal RNA". It matches the Rfam family "Bacterial small subunit ribosomal RNA", at positions 8 to 205 of the family's 1533-position model. The record is from RNAcentral.